UACGUGGGGGGCAAGCGUUGUCCGGAAUCAUUGGGCGUAAAGCGCGCGUAGGCGGCCCGGUAAGUCCGCUCUGAAAGUCCAGGGCUCAACCCUGGAAAGCGGGUGGAUACUGCCGGGCUAGAGUACGGAAGAGGCGAGUGGAAUUCCUGGUGUAGCGGUGGAAUGCGCAGAUAUCAGGAGGAACACCUAUAGCGAAGGCAGCUCGCUGGGACGUUACUGACGCUGAGGCGCGAAAGCGUGGGGAGCGAACAGG
RNAcentral lists this ribosomal RNA (253 nucleotides) under uncultured bacterium. RNAcentral describes it as "partial 16S ribosomal RNA". It matches the Rfam family "Bacterial small subunit ribosomal RNA", at positions 524 to 776 of the family's 1533-position model. The record is from RNAcentral.